RNAcentral lists this ribosomal RNA (482 nucleotides) under uncultured bacterium. Its description in RNAcentral is "partial 16S ribosomal RNA". It matches the Rfam family "Bacterial small subunit ribosomal RNA", at positions 30 to 507 of the family's 1533-position model. The record is from RNAcentral.
AUUGAACGCUGGCGGCAUGCCUUACACAUGCAAGUCGAACGGUAACAGGUCUUCGGAUGCUGACGAGUGGCGAACGGGUGAGUAAUACAUCGGAACGUGCCCGAUCGUGGGGGAUAACGAGGCGAAAGCUUUUCUAAUACCGCAUACGAUCUACGGAUGAAAGCGGGGGAUCUUCGGUCCUCGCGCGGACGGAGCGGCCGAUGGCAGAUUAGGUGGUUGGUGGGAUAAAAGCUUACCAAGCCGACGAUCUGUAGCUGGUCUGAGAGGAUGAUCAGCCACACUGGGACUGAGACACGGCCCAGACUCCUACGGGAGGCAGCAGUGGGGAAUUUUGGACAAUGGGCGAAAGCCUGAUCCAGCCAUGCCGCGUGCAGGAUGAAGGCCUUCGGGUUGUAAACUGCUUUUGUACGGAACGAAAAGCCUCUUUCUAAUAAAGAGGGGUCAUGACGGUACCGUAAGAAUAAGCACCGGCUAACUACGUG